This is a long non-coding RNA of Hippocampus zosterae (dwarf seahorse), 1013 nucleotides long. RefSeq lists it as uncharacterized. The record is from RefSeq and is a predicted model, not a curated record. Lineage: Eukaryota; Metazoa; Chordata; Actinopteri; Syngnathiformes; Syngnathidae. The transcript has 2 exons.
CGCCACCUCUUCCACUUCCUCGACGACCAGGAAGACACGUUGUGCCUUGAGGCGAACCGAGGGGUAAUGGAGAGCCACGGCUGACGAAAUCACCUCCAAAUCCGGGACAUGUUCUGGUGUGUGACAUAUGGCAACAACUAAUCCAGAGGCCAGUUGAGCCGCGCCCCAAAGUUCAACGCCAACCGCUUCAACCAGAGUGUCCUCUCGACAAGGCAUGACCAAGGCAGGCCCGUUUGAGUCAGGACCGAGAGCGGCAACUGCAGCAGAAGGCAAGCCAUGAGGGACCACGGGCUGCUGAAGGAACCCCGUUCUUGGAUUCGAACUAUCAGAUGAGCCAGCCGGUUCAAAGAAACCAGCUUCUCCGCUGAGGGCAUUUCAAGAGCGUCACUGUGGAAACAUGACAAAUGAGAAAAUGGUGAGUAUUGAACUUGUAAAGGAGAAAAAUGUCGUCCUUGCCUCUCCUGGAUGACUACUUUCAGGAAAAAAAAACUAAUUACCGACCCAAACAAAAUCUUGCUUGAGCUAUUAAAAAUCACAUCUAUAUGUGUAAAAUACAUCAUUGAUAUAUGUUAUCAAAAUAGGGUCUCAAAUAUUCUUGUAUAAAGUACCUGAAAGCUAUCCACCAUAUUUGUGGGGGCUCACCAGGAGAAUCAAGUUCAAUUAAGAGAGGAGUUUGUGUGUUGCCUAAUGAGCGAGCUAGCUAGCUAUCACGGCAAACCCGUAUGUCUGAGAGUGACAGUCGGCAUGUAAAUAUGUAACAGAAUAUUCACAAAAACAAUGCUGCAUCACCAAAACAAACAAGCACCUAUACCGUCUGUCCAUUUUGUUGUUGUUUUUUUUAAAUCCCAGCACCGGUGUCAAACUCAAGGACCGCGGGCCAGAUCCAGACCGCCAUGUCAUUUUAUGUGGCCCGUGAAAGCAAAUUAUGUGUGUCAACCUCCAUCAUCCUUGCUCAAAUCUGGACCGAAACGUCCUGUUGUCAUAUGUAAUAAAUAACAUUGAGAUUUUGCAAU